CACGUAGGGCGCAAGCGUUGUCCGGAAUUAUUGGGCGUAAAGAGCUCGUAGGCGGUCUGUUGCGUCCGCUGUGAAAACUCGGGGCUUAACCCCGAGCCUGCAGUGGAUACGGGCAGACUAGAGGUAGGUAGGGGAGAAUGGAAUUCCCGGUGUAGCGGUGAAAUGCGCAGAUAUCGGGAGGAACACCGGUGGCGAAGGCGGUUCUCUGGGGCCUUACCUGACGCUGAGGAGCGAAAGCGUGGGGAGCGAACAGG
RNAcentral lists this ribosomal RNA (254 nucleotides) under uncultured bacterium. RNAcentral's name for it is "partial 16S ribosomal RNA". It matches the Rfam family "Bacterial small subunit ribosomal RNA", at positions 524 to 776 of the family's 1533-position model. The record is from RNAcentral.